GCUGGGCAUGGUGGCACGUGCCUGUAAUCCCAGCUACUUGGGAGGCUGAGGCUGGGGAAUCGCUUGAACCCAGGAGACAGAGGUUGCAGUGAGCUGAGAUCACGCCACUGCAUUCCAGCCUGGGUGACAGAGCGAGACUCCGCCUCAG
This 148-nucleotide signal recognition particle RNA is filed under the name Pongo abelii (Sumatran orangutan). RNAcentral describes it as "Metazoan signal recognition particle RNA (ENSPPYG00000038278.1)". It matches the Rfam family "Metazoan signal recognition particle RNA". Rfam says of the family: The signal recognition particle (SRP) is a universally conserved ribonucleoprotein. It is involved in the co-translational targeting of proteins to membranes. The record is from Rfam by way of RNAcentral. Lineage: Eukaryota; Metazoa; Chordata; Mammalia; Primates; Hominidae.